UCUCGGCUUAUCACCGGCAGUCCCCCUAGAGUGCCCAACUGAAUGAUGGCAACUAAGGGCGAGGGUUGCGCUCGUUGCGGGACUUAACCCAACAUCUCACGACACGAGCUGACGACAGCCAUGCAGCACCUGUGUUCCAGUUCCCUUUCGGGCACACCUGAAUCUCUUCAGGCUUCCGGACAUGUCAAGGGUAGGUAAGGUUGUUCGCGUUGCAUCGAAUUAAUCCACAUCAUCCACCGCUUGUGCGGGUCCCCGUCAAUUCCUUUGAGUUUUAACCUUGCGGCCGUACUCCCCAGGCGGUCAACUUCACGCGUUAGCUACGGUACUCAGAAAUCGCUUCCCGAACACCCAGUUGACAUCGUUUAGGGCGUGGACUAC
RNAcentral lists this unclassified non-coding RNA (378 nucleotides) under uncultured Gammaproteobacteria bacterium. Its description in RNAcentral is "contains 16S-23S intergenic spacer region". Lineage: Bacteria; Pseudomonadati; Pseudomonadota; Gammaproteobacteria. The record is from RNAcentral.